This 499-nucleotide ribosomal RNA is filed under the name uncultured bacterium. RNAcentral describes it as "partial 16S ribosomal RNA". It matches the Rfam family "Bacterial small subunit ribosomal RNA", at positions 30 to 523 of the family's 1533-position model. The record is from RNAcentral.
AUUGAACGCUGGCGGCAGGCUUAACACAUGCAAGUCGAGCGGCAGCGGGACCUUCGGGUUGCCGGCGAGCGGCGGACGGGUGAGUAAUACGUAGGAAUCUGCCCUUAAGUGGGGGAUAACCAGGGGAAACCCUGACUAAUACCGCAUGAUCUCUUAGGAGCAAAGAGGGGGACCGCAAGGCCUCUCGCUUCUGGAUGAGCCUACGUCUGAUUAGCUAGUUGGUAGGGUAAAGGCCUACCAAGGCGACGAUCAGUAACUGGUCUGAGAGGAUGAUCAGUCACACCGGAACUGAGACACGGUCCGGACUCCUACGGGAGGCAGCAGUGGGGAAUAUUGGACAAUGGGCGCAAGCCUGAUCCAGCAAUGCCGCGUGUGUGAAGAAGGCCUUCGGGUUGUAAAGCACUUUAGCCUGGAAAGAAAAAACUUUGGUUAACACCCAAAGUCUUGACGGUACCAGGAGAAUAAGCACCGGCUAACUCUGUGCCAGCCGCCGCAGUAA